GGCUCGUUCGUCUAGCGGUAAAGGAUUCCACUCUUUCACGGUGGAGACAUGGGUUCGAAUACCAUACGAGUCA
Molecule: transfer RNA, 73 nt
Filed under: Polystyrenella longa
Lineage: Bacteria; Pseudomonadati; Planctomycetota; Planctomycetia; Planctomycetales; Planctomycetaceae
Rfam family: tRNA
About the family: Transfer RNA (tRNA) molecules are approximately 80 nucleotides in length. Their secondary structure includes four short double-helical elements and three loops (D, anti-codon, and T loops).
Source: Rfam by way of RNAcentral